UUGGUGACCCUUGGUGACACUUUGGUGCCCCUUGGUGACACUUUGGUGCCACCCCGGUGCCCCUUGGUGCCACUUUAAUGCCACUCCGGUGUCCCCAGGUGCCACCGCGGUGCCCCCCCGCUGUCACUGCCCCGCCGGUGGCUCCUGUGUCCCCGCGCCCCCGCUGGCCCUGCCGGUGCCACCGCCGCCCCCUUGGGGACUGUCCCCAGCCUCCCCCUUGGUGGCACCCGGCGAGCCGCCGGUGGCACUUGGGGACAGCUGCGGCGCGGGCGGCGGGGUGGCGUUGGUGGUGGCAUUGUUGGUGACAGCGGCGGUGCCACCCUUGGUGUCACCCGCGGCGGGCGGCAGCGACACCACGAUGUAUUUCUGCACGGCGCCGGUGACGUUGGUGGCACUGCUGGUGGCACUGCUGCUGGUGGCACUGGUGGUGGCACUGCUGGGGACAGCGGGGGACACCAGCUUGACGAGCGGCUGCACGCUGGGGACAGUGCUGGUGACAGGGGACGUGGCCGUGGGCGCGGGGGACGUGCUCAGCGUGAUCACCUGGGGACACGGCACCGGUGGCACCGCGGUGUCCCCAAUGUCCCCAAUGUCCCCAAUGUCCUCGCCUUGUCCCUGCCUCUGUCCCCAAUGUCCCCCCUUGUCCCCUUCGUUGUCACCACCCCCAAUGUCCCCCUGUGCCACCGUGUUGUCCCCAAUGUCCCCUGACCCGCUGUCCCCUCC
This 723-nucleotide long non-coding RNA is filed under the name Junco hyemalis (dark-eyed junco). Its description in RNAcentral is "lncRNA (ENSJHYG00000012860.1)". The record is from RNAcentral. Lineage: Eukaryota; Metazoa; Chordata; Aves; Passeriformes; Passerellidae.